GCCCAGGUGGUGAAACUGGUAGACACGCCAUCUUGAGGGGGUGGUUCCGUAAGGUGUAGGGGUUCGAGUCCCCUUCUGGGCACAA
Molecule: transfer RNA, 85 nt
Filed under: Bacteroidota bacterium
Lineage: Bacteria; Pseudomonadati; Bacteroidota
Description: Bacteroidetes bacterium (sediment metagenome) tRNA-Leu
Rfam family: tRNA
About the family: Transfer RNA (tRNA) molecules are approximately 80 nucleotides in length. Their secondary structure includes four short double-helical elements and three loops (D, anti-codon, and T loops).
Source: RNAcentral